Molecule: long non-coding RNA, 203 nt
Filed under: Mytilus galloprovincialis (Mediterranean mussel)
Lineage: Eukaryota; Metazoa; Mollusca; Bivalvia; Mytilida; Mytilidae
Source: RNAcentral
CCCCGAUUUUGUUUUUUGUCCAUGAAUUUAUGAGUUUGAACAGCGGUAUACUACUGUUGCCUUUAUUUAUACCCAUUUUUAUAUCUUGAAAAUGAUAAAAAAAAAAAAGAAAAAAAAGAGUUAAAAACAUAAUGAAGCAAUAAAGACAAUAGUUACAAUUAUAAGUCAAAUAAAAUAAAUAUGAUGCGACUGUUAUACAAGUG